CCGUUAUCCCGUGGUGAUUUGGCCGGUCGGCUUGCAGCCACGUUAAACAAGUGGCUAAAAGGACCGGGUUGAAAACCG
RNAcentral lists this non-coding RNA (78 nucleotides) under Hyphomicrobiales bacterium. Lineage: Bacteria; Pseudomonadati; Pseudomonadota; Alphaproteobacteria; Hyphomicrobiales. The record is from RNAcentral.